UACAUGGGGUGCAAACGUUGCUCGGAAUUAUUGGGCGUAAAGCGCACGUAGGCGGUUCGUUAAGUCGGAUGUGAAAGCCCUCGGCUCAACUGAGGAAGUGCACCCGAAACUGGCGAGCUUGAGUACGAAAGAGGAUCGCGGAAUUCCCGGUGUAGAGGUGAAAUUCGUAGAUAUCGGGAGGAACACCGGUGGCGAAGGCGGGUCUCUGGACAGUUCCUGACACUGAGGCACGAAGGCCAGGGGAGCAAACGGG
RNAcentral lists this ribosomal RNA (253 nucleotides) under uncultured bacterium. RNAcentral describes it as "partial 16S ribosomal RNA". It matches the Rfam family "Bacterial small subunit ribosomal RNA", at positions 524 to 776 of the family's 1533-position model. The record is from RNAcentral.